RNAcentral lists this ribosomal RNA (433 nucleotides) under uncultured bacterium. RNAcentral describes it as "partial 16S ribosomal RNA". It matches the Rfam family "Bacterial small subunit ribosomal RNA", at positions 29 to 507 of the family's 1533-position model. The record is from RNAcentral.
AACGAACGCUGGCGGCAGGCCUAACACAUGCAAGUCGAGCGAGGACUUCGGUCCUAGCGGCGGACGGGUGAGUAACGCGUGGGAACGUGCCCUUUGCUUCGGAAUAGCCCUGGGAAACUGGGAGUAAUACCGGAUGAGCCCUUUGGGGGAAAGAUUUAUCGGCGAAGGAUCGGCCCGCGUUGGAUUAGGUAGUUGGUGGGGUAAUGGCCUACCAAGCCGACGAUCCAUAGCUGGUUUGAGAGGAUGAUCAGCCACGCUGGGACUGAGACACGGCCCAGACUCGUACGCAAGGGAGCAGUGGAGAAUCUUAGACGAUGGAGGCAACUCUGAUCUAGCCGUGCCGCGUGAGAGAUGAAGGGCUUAGGGUUGUAAAGCUCUUUCAGCUGGGAAGAUAAUGACGGUACCAGCAGAAGAAGCCCCGGCUAACUCCGUG